Long non-coding RNA from Labeo rohita (rohu), 1581 nucleotides. RefSeq lists it as uncharacterized. Lineage: Eukaryota; Metazoa; Chordata; Actinopteri; Cypriniformes; Cyprinidae. The transcript has 4 exons. The record is from RefSeq and is a predicted model, not a curated record.
UCCUGCAGAGCCAGUCCCCUUCUCUUGAGCCUCGAACCACCUCUGAGCCAAGAAUCAACAAUCCUCCUUGCUACUCAGAACGCCAACUCCGCAUUCAGAAUAGACUCUUGUUUCUACUGUGGUGUCGCUGGUCACUUUGCUCCUGCCUGCCCUGUAAAAGCCAGCACUCGUCAGUAGAUCGGUGAGUACUGGCGAGCGUCACUACACUCUCCCCUGACUCAAAGACUCGCACAUCCCUUGCCGCUCUUCUGCACUGGGGGAAUUCCUCCUUCUCUUGAACCGCCCUCAUCGACUCAGAGCAGAGGAGAACUUUACUGAUGAGAAGUGUUUUCUAGAGCGUGGCAUUCCCUUACAAGAGCUGGAAGACCCUCCCACUGUCUAUGCCCUGGAUGGCCGUAUUCUUUUGAGGGUCCUCCGAGUCAACAUUCCUGGAGGACCCCGGUGAUUUGUCUGGAGUGCCAGAGGAGUACCACAAUCUGUGGGUGGUGUUUAUUUCACAGCAAGCCAUAGAGGACCUGAAAAGAAGAGGAUCUUGAUGGCUUUCUGGGACCAGCAGAAGCCAGAAAACAAACUGAAUAACUCACAAUGCAAGGUUCAUUGGAGGAUUUGCUUGUCGUUCUCCUGAUGUAGGAUGCUGACGUUUGUGAUCGCGCCACCAGUCCACUAACUUCAGUGGCCAGAAGUAUCAACAAAGAAAUGAAAAUUGGUGUAUGAUUGUGUGAGUUUUGAGGCACAACUGUCAGCAGGAGAAAACUCUGAAUUUGAACUUGGCUUGAAAUGCAUCAAAACAAGGAAACUCAAUGUAAAGAACAUCUUGAUGACUGCAUUAACAUCAGCUUUGAAGAAGCUUCUACCAGCAAGUUCAGAAGAAUAAAUGGAGUACUUUCAGUUUCAAAGCACAGAAAGAUCAAGUAAUGCAGAGAGAAAAGAAGCAAAAUUAGAGUCGCAGUGGAUCAUGUUUGUGAGACGGUGCUGAAGUGGCUUGCAAAUGUUUAAGACUUCCUGUUUGUUGCUGCCACAUGUUUUGAGUUGGAGCUCCAUCAAGUUAAUUCUUUAUUGUCUAUUUUUUAAUCUUCGUUUCUAUGAUGUGUGAAUAUAUUCCUAUGAUCGUUCUCUACAACAAAAACAAUCAAAGCACCUUAUCACUAGUUUUAUUUUGAUUUUACUGAGUCUGCUACUAGCUUAUAGCCCUUUACCAUCUAGCCCAUUUUACUCAUUGUUACUUGCUUUAAUGGCAGAUUUGUGUCUAGCUUUGAGUGCAGGUGAGGACACGUUUGAGUUGCACUAGCUGCGAGAGCGGAAAGCCGCUGGAAACAUCCCAGGCUGCCGCUCACUGUGGUAAGUUUGCAGUGUGAUAUUAACACUCCCACCACCUCAACUCUGUGUGUUUCUCUGCACAGGCCCCGUGCAGCAGAAGAUGCGAGCCAGGCCCCAGGCGAGGACCUCUCCCCCUCCGCCGCCUCCAGUCUUCAGUCUUCUUAAUAACUGGAGUCUUUUCUGGGAACGUCCUAGGCUCUUUCGUGCUGAUGGCCUGCACCCCAGCAGAGUCAGAGCAGAAUUCCUGUCGGACAACAUCUCCAG